Small nuclear RNA from Heterocephalus glaber (naked mole-rat), 114 nucleotides. NCBI's taxonomy places the organism in Eukaryota, Metazoa, Chordata, Mammalia, Rodentia, Bathyergidae. The record is from Ensembl.
GUGCUCACUUCGGCAGCACAUAUACUAAAAAUUGGAAUGAUACAGAGAAGAUUAGCAUGGCCCCUGCGCAAGUAUGCAUAGAAACUGAAAUAAAAUUAGAUGGACUAUGUUUAU